RNAcentral lists this ribosomal RNA (384 nucleotides) under uncultured microorganism. RNAcentral describes it as "bacterial SSU rRNA". It matches the Rfam family "Bacterial small subunit ribosomal RNA", at positions 9 to 426 of the family's 1533-position model. The record is from RNAcentral.
GAGUUUGAUCGUGGCUCAGAACGAACGCUGGCGGCAGGCCUAACACAUGCAAGUCGAACGCACUCUUCGGAGUGAGUGGCAGACGGGUGAGUAACGCGUGGGAACCUUCCCAAUGGUGCGGAAUAGCCCAGGGAAACUUGGGGGUAAUACCGCAUACGCCUACGGGGAAGAUUAUCGCCAUUGGAUGGGCCGCGUCGGAUUAGCUGUUGGUGAGGUAAUGGCUCACCAAGGCAACGAUCCGUAGCUGGUUUGAGAGAAUGACCAGCCACACUGGGACUGAGACACGGCCCAGACUCCUACGGGAGGCAGCAGUGGGGAAUCUUGGACAAUGGGCGAAAGCCUGAUCCAGCCAUGCCGCGUGAGUGACGAAGGCCUUAGGGUUGU